UACGUAGGGUGCAGGCGUUAAUCGGAAUUACUGGGCGUAAAGCGUGCGCAGGCGGUUUGCUAAGACAGGUGUGAAAUCCCCGGGCUUAACCUGGGAACUGCGCUUGUAACUGGCAAGCUAGAGUGUGGCAGAGGGGGGUGGAAUUCCACGUGUAGCAGUGAAAUGCGUAGAUAUCUGGAGGAACACCGGUGGCGAAGGCGGCAUCCUGGACCAUUACUGACACUGAAAAGCGAAAGCCAGGGGAGCAAACGGG
This 253-nucleotide ribosomal RNA is filed under the name uncultured bacterium. RNAcentral's name for it is "partial 16S ribosomal RNA". It matches the Rfam family "Bacterial small subunit ribosomal RNA", at positions 524 to 776 of the family's 1533-position model. The record is from RNAcentral.